GCCCUCAUCGUCUAGUGGUUAAGGACAUCUCUUUUUCAAGGAGACAACUGGGAUUCAAAUUCCCAUGAGGGUA
This 73-nucleotide transfer RNA is filed under the name Epipogium aphyllum. RNAcentral describes it as "tRNA-Glu". It matches the Rfam family "tRNA". Rfam says of the family: Transfer RNA (tRNA) molecules are approximately 80 nucleotides in length. Their secondary structure includes four short double-helical elements and three loops (D, anti-codon, and T loops). Lineage: Eukaryota; Viridiplantae; Streptophyta; Magnoliopsida; Asparagales; Orchidaceae. The record is from RNAcentral.